AGUGUAGGUUGUUUUCUAAGUUAAAUGUGAAAGCCCGGGGCUUAACUCCGGAAUGUCAUUUAAUACUGGAAGACUAGAGUGCAGGAGGGGUGAGCGGAAUUCCUAGUGUAGCGGUAAAAUGCGUAGAUAUUAGGAAGAACACCAGAGGCGAAGGCGGCUCACUGGACUGUUACUGACACUGAAACUCGAAAGCGUGGGGAGCAAACAG
This 208-nucleotide ribosomal RNA is filed under the name uncultured bacterium. Its description in RNAcentral is "partial 16S ribosomal RNA". It matches the Rfam family "Bacterial small subunit ribosomal RNA", at positions 568 to 775 of the family's 1533-position model. The record is from RNAcentral.